GGACUGGUAGCUCAGUGGUAGAGCGUAGGACUGCAAAUCCCGAGGCCGCGGGCUCAACCCCCGCCCGGUCCU
This is a transfer RNA of Rhizoclosmatium globosum, 72 nucleotides long. It matches the Rfam family "tRNA". Rfam says of the family: Transfer RNA (tRNA) molecules are approximately 80 nucleotides in length. NCBI's taxonomy places the organism in Eukaryota, Fungi, Chytridiomycota, Chytridiomycetes, Chytridiales, Chytriomycetaceae. The record is from Rfam.